Balaenoptera ricei (Rice's whale) is the source of this 199-nucleotide long non-coding RNA. RefSeq lists it as uncharacterized. The transcript has 3 exons. The record is from RefSeq and is a predicted model, not a curated record. NCBI's taxonomy places the organism in Eukaryota, Metazoa, Chordata, Mammalia, Artiodactyla, Balaenopteridae.
GUGAUGGCAAGAAUGCCAGAGGUAACCAGCGGGAGACCAGGAACCGCCAAGCAAAACAAGACGGGAUGGACGACAACCAGAAGGCCUUGGGCUCUAUGAGGCAUGAAGAUAAAUUGGAGAUGUUGGAGAUAACAGAUGGAGAAACUGAGAAAAAAAGAUUGGCGGUUUUUGAAGAAAUCUCAUUAAAGUUUAUUAGAUU